This is a non-coding RNA of Cucurbita pepo subsp. pepo (vegetable marrow), 427 nucleotides long. The record is from RefSeq and is a predicted model, not a curated record. Lineage: Eukaryota; Viridiplantae; Streptophyta; Magnoliopsida; Cucurbitales; Cucurbitaceae.
AAAAAUUUAAAUGGUAAUGUAAUCCAAAUUUGGGUCAAAGUCAACCAGGGCAAAAAGGCAAUUUUACCCUACACAUACACGUUGAGGGGGUGAAAAAAUAGAGAGAGAAAGAGAGAUGAACCGUUAGGAUUUUUUUAAGAAGAGGAAGAAGGAGGGAGAAACGCCUCAAACCCGAACUGAAGCACCCUCAAUCUUAGGUCUCCUACUAGAGCUACUCAGGGUAUCAAGAGGAGUGGUCUGAGCAUUGGAUCGUUCGUUUCCGGCAAGAAACGGGCAAGAACGCGAGGUGAGGAGUCUUGCAAGUUCUCCGAGGAAACGCGGCCAAAAAUCGCGUUGGAAAACAAAAUCGAGAAACCGUCCUACUUCAGUAAGAAACUGAAUUUUUCUCGGUUUUCGAUUUCAUUUAUUAAGCGCUGUGAGUAAAAAA